ACAAUAAUCCAGUUGAGGCCUAAACAGAGUGGAGUAGAGCGGAAGAAUUACUUCUCAUGUCUUGCUUACAACCCUCCUGCUAUUACAUCCCUGAAUGAUGUUUUGUUUUUUGGGAACAGC
Molecule: long non-coding RNA, 120 nt
Organism: Gopherus evgoodei (Goodes thornscrub tortoise)
Lineage: Eukaryota; Metazoa; Chordata; Testudines; Testudinidae
Exons: 3
Source: RefSeq, a predicted model, not a curated record